Oncorhynchus keta (chum salmon) is the source of this 384-nucleotide long non-coding RNA. RefSeq lists it as uncharacterized. The transcript has 3 exons. Lineage: Eukaryota; Metazoa; Chordata; Actinopteri; Salmoniformes; Salmonidae. The record is from RefSeq and is a predicted model, not a curated record.
GUCCACACACACCUCAGCCCUGACUUACAGGUCGGAACACUUCUAGUCCACACACACCUCAGCCCUGACUUACAGGUCGGAACACUUCUAGUCCACACACACCUCAGCCCUGACUUACAGGUCGGAACACUUCUAGUCCACACACACCUCAGCCCUGACUUACAGGUCGGAACACUUCUAGUCCACACACACCUCAGCCCUGACUUAUGGGUUGGAACACUUCCAGUCCACCCAUCCCCUUAGCACCGACUUACAGGUCGGAACACUUCUAGUCCACACACACCUCAACCCUGACUUAUGGGUUGGAACACUUCCAGUCCACCCAUCCCCUUAGCACCGACUUACAGGUCGGAACACUUCUAGUCCACACACACCUCAGCCCUG